Molecule: ribosomal RNA, 433 nt
Filed under: uncultured bacterium
Lineage: Bacteria
Description: partial 16S ribosomal RNA
Rfam family: Bacterial small subunit ribosomal RNA
Source: RNAcentral
AGCGAACGCUGGCGGCAGGCCUAACACAUGCCAGUCGAACGAACUCUUCGGAGUUAGUGGCGGACGGGUGAGUAACACGUGGGAACGUGCCUUUUGGUUCGGAAUAACUCAGGGAAACUUGUGCUAAUACCGAAUGUGCCCUUCGGGGGAAAGAUUUAUCGCCAUUAGAGCGGCCCGCGUCUGAUUAGCUAGUUGGUGAGGUAACGGCUCACCAAGGCGACGAUCAGUAGCUGGUCUGAGAGGAUGGCCAGCCACACUGGGACUGAGACACGGCCCAGACUCCUACGGGAGGCAGCAGUGGGGAAUCUUGCGCAAUGGGCGAAAGCCUGACGCAGCCAUGCCGCGUGAAUGAUGAAGGUCUUAGGAUUGUAAAAUUCUUUCACCGGGGACGAUAAUGACGGUACCCGGAGAAGAAGCCCCGGCUAACUUCGUG